GUUAGGAUAUUACAAGCCCAAAACAAGUUCAGAAGUGAUCAGAAUUGAGAUCAAAACUCUCAACUCUCAAGUAAAAGCAAAACUCAUGCAACAUUUGAUUAAUACCGAGUCAAUCCUAAUCACUUUUAAUUAUUUUACUGCAACAUAAAUUUAAAAUUGUUGUAAAAAAGGCCCAUUUAAUCACUGACUGCACAUCUCACAGUUUGUUAUCAAACGUUAGCUAACAUUUGGAAUCUCUACUGGUAAUAAAAUCUGUUAUUGCAAUGGGCUUAAGUCUUGGUCGCAUGUUGGCUGCUUCUCUAGAGCUGAUCGAAACCGGCUUAGGCUGGAUUGAAGAGACGCGUGAUCGCUAUGUUAAUUACUUAGUAAUCUGGUUUUAUUUGAACAAGGAGCAGAUCUGGAUCAAGAUUGCUAUGGUUUGUUACCUCAAACCUAUGCAGUUUGGCUCAUGUCUCCAUUUCAGAAAAAGAGUUUGUCACAAGCUGGUGUACUGUACAUGUCUACUGGCUACAAAAAGACUGUCGCGAGGCAAUAGUCUGCUGUGUGCUGGUUACAUGUCCUUAGACAGAGUCAUUCUCUGAUCACACAAUAGAGCAACGUGCUUUUGGCAAGGGCCGAUAAAGAUGUUGUUGGUAAUCGGUGGAUGCAGAGAGUAUCAUGAAUGGGUGCAGUUACACGCAACAUGAUAACACUAAGGUGGACUUAUGGCGAGUUUGCUCCUGGACUCUUGGUUUCAAUGGCAUUGCUCUGAAGAGUGUUGUGUGUAUGCAAAAUUAUGUUCAAGAAACACCCCGUUGUGUGUCUGGUAGUUGUUCUUCAGCUGGCACUAAUAUUUAAGAAUAGCCCUCUUUUAGGGUAUGAAGUGGCUGUACCGAGGUGGGAAGCGACCUGGAUAGCAGGGAUGUCAAUGUUUUCCCCAGCCUUUCUCACUUACAAAAUUUUUGUGGAAAUAAAAAAAUUCAAGUUAUCAUGGAAGAAAAACAGGAAGGUAUUCUGUGUAGGUAUGUUCUUGGACACCUGAGGACCCAUAAGCAAGAAAUCGCAUUUCCAACAAUACUAAUUGAAGUGGUGGUGCACAUACUGUAAACGUGAAGAAUAUCUAAGUGUUUGUUAAUAUAUCUGUAUAUGUUGUUGAUACAAUUUGAAGUAGUGUGAUUUUAGUAAUUCGAUGAGUCAUACAGUUUGCACAAUUGUGUUUUUUUGGGACUAGAACACAUUGUUUGUACAUAAUACAUGAAGUUAUAAACUUUAUGAGUAUAAAGAUUGUACUGUCAGAUUU
Molecule: long non-coding RNA, 1279 nt
Organism: Daucus carota subsp. sativus
Lineage: Eukaryota; Viridiplantae; Streptophyta; Magnoliopsida; Apiales; Apiaceae
Exons: 4
Source: RefSeq, a predicted model, not a curated record